RNAcentral lists this ribosomal RNA (266 nucleotides) under uncultured bacterium. Its description in RNAcentral is "partial 16S ribosomal RNA". It matches the Rfam family "Bacterial small subunit ribosomal RNA", at positions 333 to 591 of the family's 1533-position model. The record is from RNAcentral.
CGUAGCCUACGGGAGGCAGCAGUGGGGAAUAUUGCGCAAUGGGCGAAAGCCUGACGCAGCGACGCCGCGUGAGGGAUGAAGGUCUUCGGAUCGUAAACCUCUGUCAGCAGGGAAGAACGGUCACUGUGCUAAUCAGCAGUGAAUUGGCGGUACCUGCAAAGGAAGCACCGGCUAACUCCGUGCCAGCAGCCGCGGUAAUACGGAGGGUGCGCGCGUUAAUCGGAAUUACUGGGCGUAAAGCGCUCGUAGGCGGUAUGUCCAGACAA